This is a long non-coding RNA of Acipenser ruthenus (sterlet), 1851 nucleotides long. RefSeq lists it as uncharacterized. The record is from RefSeq and is a predicted model, not a curated record. Lineage: Eukaryota; Metazoa; Chordata; Actinopteri; Acipenseriformes; Acipenseridae. The transcript is spliced from 3 exons.
CUCAAAUCUUCACCAGCGCCAUCAUUGCUCUAUGCAGGAAGUGAUUACAGAAUCGCAAGAACUACUGACCCGGAAACGGAACUGAAGGGAACUCGCUGUUGUGUCAACCAACGAAAUAUAAAAGAAGACUGAAUCUGCAGCUUUCACUCCCCUUGGACUGACUCCAUGCCAGAAGAUAGACAACUUUCAUAUGUAUUGACAAGUGCUAAGAUGAAUUCACAACAUAACCAAUUGACUCCCGGAUAUGUUGUUUUCACUCGAGAUGGAAUGCUGUAAUAGCAGGUCUAAAAGAAUGUGAUGUGUCUGCUACCCACUCAGCUCUGGGAUGCAAACAGCAUGAACAGGAAGUCAUGAUUGUUGCCUCUGAUUUGUAUAAUGAUUUCUUGAUUUCUUCAUGGAUAACUCGUGCGACCUCAUUUAUAACCCCUCGGUUGAAUAAAUGUGUCAUCUCUGCACAUAUAUCCUCUAUGUAUGACAUCCCUGCAACUCAAUCAACUGUAAAUAUAAAAUGAAAGUUAUCAAUAUCAUGAAAAACAUGUCAAAGACACCCUUAUACAAGUUUACCAUGGUACAUUUGCACAGAAAUGUUGCAGUUGUCCCAUGCUUUUCUCAUGGCUAUACUGUGCAUAGUUUGCCAUGUUUUUUAAUAUGCGUUACUAUCCUUUCACUAUGCUUUAUUACACUUUGCCAUGCUUUUACUAGGGUAAAGUCUUAUAGACAGCCAUCUCCUUAAACUGUCAGACUCUUCAUAACUUGUAUUCAGAAAUGUGCAAACCUAUUAUUAUCAUCACAGUUGUAUACUGGUUUCUCUAGAUAUAUGUAAAUUCGAAGGUUGUGAAAUCUGGACAGAUGUACAAGACCCUCCACUAUACCAACACUGAUAGUUUGUUUUCUGUACAGAUCUAGACUCCCUAACAUGCAAAAAUAUUCAUAUCUCUAAUAUCACAAUUUUAUUAGGUUGAUCCCUUAUCAAACAGAUUUUGUAAACAUGAAAUGUGUUAGAAACAUUACAAAAAUAAUAUCAGACUGGAUAAUGAAUUCCAGUAUAUGUACCUUGUAACAUAUCAUUUCCUGUGUUCAAUCCUAUUGCAAUAAUGUGAUUGAGUUAAGGUACUUCAGAAUACAUUAUGUGUACUCAUUAACCCACGUCAAGGAGAAUUGAUUGUAAACAGCAAGUGCAAUGUGAACAAAUAUAGAUACAAAGAGGCUAGCGAGGACGCCCACAGACUUCCUGUAUGGCAAGUGCACUGAACUAUUCUGUUGCAAAUAAAAUCGGAUCGUACUCGCAUGCUUUUGUAAUUGGGUGGAACUUAGUAUUUGCGGUAGAAAGAAAAAUACUCCUACAACCAGAGAAUGAAAAUGAAUCUUGUUUAUUUUUUUCCAUACUUGAAAUAAUAUAAAAAGAAAGAUUCUGACUAGCUGACAUAACAAAGCAAUAUUGCAAUAAUGAAACUGUAAGAUUUGUUUUUAUUUUUAAAGAUCAUGUGGAAGUCAGUGACAAAUCCAGUGCUCCCCCUUUAUAACGCUGUAGUCGGGAGCCAUACUUAAGAGCCUGUGUUAUUUGUGUUAGUCUAAUAGCCUUGUAACCUGUUUCACAGUAUAAAGGGCCACCUUAUAAAGAGGAAGCACUGUACUGAGGAAAUGCAUUAAAAAAGUGUAACUGGAUAUCAAUCUCUUUAUGAGUACAUAUACUGAUACACUGUGUAGUAAUUUUACAGUAUCAAUUGCAGACUAUAAUUUGGUAGGAAGAAGAAGAUCAUUUUUUUACUUUUAUUUACUUAUACAGUAUUUGAAUAUAUAGCGACAAUAAACUUUAAUUGCAGUUUAUUUUACAGACCAAACUAAAAGUGA